CCUACGGGAGGCAGCAGUGAGGAAUAUUGGUCAAUGGGCGCGAGCCUGAACCAGCCAAGUAGCGUGCAGGAUGACGGCCCUAUGGGUUGUAAACCGCUUUUGUUGGGGAGCAAUAAGGUCCACGUGUGGAUUGAUGAGAGUACCCAGCGAAUAAGCAUCGGCUAACUCCGUGCCAGCAGCCGCGGUAAU
RNAcentral lists this ribosomal RNA (189 nucleotides) under uncultured rumen bacterium. RNAcentral's name for it is "partial 16S ribosomal RNA". It matches the Rfam family "Bacterial small subunit ribosomal RNA", at positions 338 to 524 of the family's 1533-position model. The record is from RNAcentral.